Molecule: long non-coding RNA, 533 nt
Organism: Cyprinus carpio (common carp)
Lineage: Eukaryota; Metazoa; Chordata; Actinopteri; Cypriniformes; Cyprinidae
Exons: 2
Source: RefSeq, a predicted model, not a curated record
GGGUCUUGAAGCUCUGCGCACCCUUUCCAAGCGACAGAUAACUGGGUGAGCCCCACUGAUCGACUACAUACUAGCAGGACCUGUAAAAAAAACACCAAAAAAUCUAGAGGAAAGAAGCAGAGACAACAGUAAAUGACACCAUCACAGAUUAUGCAGGUCCAGCCUGCUCUCACACUACAUGCAUGAAUGAUACUGAUACUGGAACAGAUAGCUGAUAUUACUUAACCUUAAUAGUAAAUAUUCAUUAACAGGUUUGCUAAAUGUGUACUCUAGUGGAGCAGGUCAAGUGUAAAUCUACUGUCAUAAGAAUAAGCUUUACAAUAUAUGAGCUAUUUUUGAAAUGUGAACCCUUCCCCUACAUGGUCUUCAUGAAGAGAUUUUAAGCUAACUAAUUUCUAAUUUCCAUCACUUUCUGAGUUUGUAUUCUGUCUACAUUGUAUAAAGUUACUGAUUCCUGAGCCAUUGAAUGAAAAUAUUUUUCUAUAUUUUCGCUUUCUAUUUUGGAAUAUAAAUAAAAGAUUUUACAUUUUAAA